AUUGAACGCUGGCGGCAUGCCUUACACAUGCAAGUCGAGCGGCAGCACGGGUGCUUGCACCUGGUGGCGAGUGGCGAACGGGUGAGUAAUACAUCGGAACGUACCUUAUCGUGGGGGAUAACGCAGCGAAAGCUGUGCUAAUACCGCAUACGCCCUGAGGGGGAAAGCGGGGGAUCGAAAGACCUCGCGCGAUUAGAGCGGCCGAUGCCUGAUUAGCUUGUUGGUGGGGUAAAAGCCCACCAAGGCGACGAUCAGUAGCUGGUCUGAGAGGAGGAUCAGCCCCACUGGGACUGAGACACGGCCCAGACUCCUGCGGGAGGCAGCAGUGGGGAAUUUUGGACAAUGGGGGCAACCCUGAUCCAGCAAUGCCGCGUGAGUGAAGAAGGCCUUCGGGUUGUAAAGCUCAUUUGUCAGGGAAGAAACACCGGCUCUAACACAGUCCGGGAAUGACGGUACCUGAAGAAUAAGCACCGGCUAACUACGUGCCAGCAGCCGCAGUAA
RNAcentral lists this ribosomal RNA (501 nucleotides) under uncultured bacterium. RNAcentral describes it as "partial 16S ribosomal RNA". It matches the Rfam family "Bacterial small subunit ribosomal RNA", at positions 29 to 523 of the family's 1533-position model. The record is from RNAcentral.